AACUUUUAACAAUGGAUCUCUAGGCUCUCACAUCGAUGAAGAACACAGUGAAAUGUGAUAAGUAAUGUGAAUUGCAGAAUUCAGUGAAUCAUUGAAUCUUUGAAUGCACCUUGCACCUUUUGGUAUUCCAAGAGGUACACCUGUUUGAGUGUCAU
RNAcentral lists this ribosomal RNA (155 nucleotides) under Puccinia kuehnii. RNAcentral's name for it is "5.8S ribosomal RNA". It matches the Rfam family "5.8S ribosomal RNA". From Rfam's summary of the family: 5.8S ribosomal RNA (5.8S rRNA) is a component of the large subunit of the eukaryotic ribosome. It is transcribed by RNA polymerase I as part of the 45S precursor that also contains 18S and 28S rRNA. Lineage: Eukaryota; Fungi; Basidiomycota; Pucciniomycetes; Pucciniales; Pucciniaceae. The record is from RNAcentral.